Gigantopelta aegis is the source of this 819-nucleotide long non-coding RNA. RefSeq lists it as uncharacterized. The transcript has 2 exons. Lineage: Eukaryota; Metazoa; Mollusca; Gastropoda; Neomphalida; Peltospiridae. The record is from RefSeq and is a predicted model, not a curated record.
UUGUUAUACCAGUUGUGGAGCACUGGCUGGAACGAGAAAUGGCCCAAUGGGCCCACCGAUGGGAAUCGAUCUGUGAUCGAUCACGCAUCAGGCGAGCACUGUACCACUGAGCUACGUCCCGCCUCGAAAAUAAGAAACGGUGCCCUUUUCAGUUUACAGGUGUGCUGUUUAGUUUACAGGUGUGCUGUUCAGUUUACAGGUGUGCUGUUUAGUUUACAGGUGUGCUUUUUAGUUUACAGAUGUGCUGUUCAGUUUACAGGUGUGCUUUUCAGUUUACAGGUGUGCUGUUCAGUUUACAGGUGCUGUUUAGUUUACAGGUGUGCUUUUCAGUUUACAGGUGUGCUGUUUAGUUUACAGGGUGUGCUGUUCAGUUUACAGGUGUGCUUUUCAGUUUACAGGUGUGCUGUUUAGUUUACAGGUGUGCUGUUUAGUUUACAGGUGUGCUUUUAGCUCUAGCUAGGGGAUUAUCAAAUUUAAAGAUGGAAGCAUAUGCUAUAAAGUGAGAAGCAGGUGUAUUAAUUAGUCUCGGAACUGGAGAAAACUUGAGGUGUUUUCUCUUUUAUAGCAGUGGCGUAGGAAGGUGCCAAAAAGUAGGGGGGGGGGGGGCACACUUUUAUAUUUACACUAUUAUAAAGCAAAUAUAAAACAAAAUAUCUUAAAAGUGGGGAGCCUUUAUAUUACUGUGCCUUGAUUCUCCACCCCUUUUCUACCCCCCUUUCACUAUCUCCAGUGAUGGAUCCAGGAAAUAUAUAUAUAUAUAUAUAUAUAUAUAUAUAUAUAUAUAUCUUUCUUUUUUUGGGGGGGGGGGGGGGGGAGAGA